UACAUGGGGUGCAAACGUCGCUCGGAAUUAUUGGGCGUAAAGCGCACGUAGGCGGUUCGUCAAGUCAGACGUGAAAGCCCCCGGCUCAACCGGGGAAGUGCAUCUGAAACUAGCGGGCUUGAGUACGAAAGAGGGUCGCGGAAUUCCCGGUGUAGAGGUGAAAUUCGUAGAUAUCGGGAGGAACACCAGUGGCGAAGGCGGAGACCUGGGCCGAUACUGACGCUGAGGUGCGAAAGCGUGGGGAGCAAACAGG
RNAcentral lists this ribosomal RNA (253 nucleotides) under uncultured bacterium. RNAcentral's name for it is "partial 16S ribosomal RNA". It matches the Rfam family "Bacterial small subunit ribosomal RNA", at positions 524 to 776 of the family's 1533-position model. The record is from RNAcentral.